This 402-nucleotide ribosomal RNA is filed under the name uncultured bacterium. RNAcentral's name for it is "bacterial SSU rRNA". It matches the Rfam family "Bacterial small subunit ribosomal RNA", at positions 355 to 748 of the family's 1533-position model. The record is from RNAcentral.
UGGGGAAUUUUGGACAAUGGGCGCAAGCCUGAUCCAGCAAUGCCGCGUGCAGGAUGAAGGCCUUCGGGUUGUAAACUGCUUUUGUACGGAACGAAACGGUUCUCUCUAAUACAGGGGGCUAAUGACGGUACCGUAAGAAUAAGCACCGGCUAACUACGUGCCAGCAGCCGCGGUAAUACGUAGGGUGCGAGCGUUAAUCGGAAUUACUGGGCGUAAAGCGUGCGCAGGCGGUUAUGUAAGACAGAUGUGAAAUCCCCGGGCUCAACCUGGGACCUGCAUUUGUGACUGCAUAGCUAGAGUACGGUAGAGGGGGAUGGAAUUCCGCGUGUAGCAGUGAAAUGCGUAGAUAUGCGGAGGAACACCGAUGGCGAAGGCAAUCCCCGUGGACCUGUACUGACGCUC